Molecule: unclassified non-coding RNA, 345 nt
Filed under: soil metagenome
Description: partial contains 5.8S ribosomal RNA, internal transcribed spacer 2, and large subunit ribosomal RNA
Rfam family: 5.8S ribosomal RNA (bases 1-120)
Source: RNAcentral
GAUGAAGAACGCAGCGAAAUGCGAUAAGUAGUGUGAAUUGCAGAAUUACCUGAAUCAUCGAAUCUUUGAACGCACAUUGCGCCCCCUGGUAUUCCGGGGGGCAUGCCUGUCCGAGCGUCAUUGCUGCCCUCAAGCACGGCUUGUGUGUUGGGCCUCCGUCCUCCUCCCGGGGGACGGGCCCGAAAGGCAGCGGCGGCACCGCGUCCGGUCCUCGAGCGUAUGGGGCUUCGUCACCCGCUCUUGUAGGCCCGGCCGGCGCUUGCCGACACAUCAAUCUUUUUUCCAGGUUGACCUCGGAUCAGGUAGGGAUACCCGCUGAACUUAAGCAUAUCAAUAAGCGGAGGA